Molecule: ribosomal RNA, 255 nt
Filed under: uncultured bacterium
Lineage: Bacteria
Description: partial 16S ribosomal RNA
Rfam family: Bacterial small subunit ribosomal RNA
Source: RNAcentral
UACGGAGGUUGCAAGCGUUGUUCGGAAUUACUGGGCGUAAAGGGGGCGCAGGCGGUUCGCCAAGUUGAAAGUGGAAGCCCGGGGCUCAACCCCGGGUUCGUCUUUCAAUACUAGCGAACUUGAGUUUGGGAGAGGAAAGCGGAAUUCCGGGUGUAGCGGUGAAAUGCGUAGAUAUCCGGAGGAACACCGAUGGCGAAAGCAGCUUCUGGCCCGAUACUGACGCUCAUGCCCGAAAGCGUGGGGAGCGAACGAGGA